ACAUGCAAGUCGAACGGAAGUCGUUGUAAUGAAAUAGAAACGGACAGAGAACUUGUUCGAAGGAAGUGGAAGUAGACUUACAACAAUGGCUUUAGUGGCGGACUGGUGAGUAACGCGUAAGGAACCUGCCUUCUAGAGGGGAAUAACAAUGAGAAAUCAUUGCUAAUACCGCAUAUGCCGAGAGAAUCACAUGGUACAAUCGGGAAAAGAGUAAUCUGCUAGAAGAUGGCCUUGCGUCUGAUUAGAUAGUUGGUGGGGUAACGGCCUACCAAGUCGACGAUCAGUAGCCGGACUGAGAGGUUGAACGGCCACAUUGGGACUGAGAUACGGCCCAGACUCCUACGGGAGGCAGCAGUCGGGAAUAUUGCGCAAUGGAGGAAACUCUGACGCAGUGACGCCGCGUAUAGGAAGAAGGUUUUCGGAUUGUAAACUAUUGUCGUUAGGGAAGAGAAAGGACAGUACCUAAGGAGGAAGCUCCGGCUAACUACGUGCCAGCAGCCGCGGUAAUACGUAGGGAGCGAGCGUUAUCCGGAAUUAUUGGGUGUAAAGGGUGCGUAGACGGGAAGAUAAGUUAGUUGUGAAAUCCCUCGGCUUAACUGAGGAACUGCAACUAAAACUGUUUUUCUUGAGUGCAGGAGAGGUAAGUGGAAUUCCUAGUGUAGCGGUGAAAUGCGUAGAUAUUAGGAGGAACACCAGUGGCGAAGGCGACUUACUGGACUGUAACUGACGUUGAGGCAC
This 738-nucleotide ribosomal RNA is filed under the name uncultured bacterium. RNAcentral's name for it is "bacterial SSU rRNA". It matches the Rfam family "Bacterial small subunit ribosomal RNA", at positions 53 to 754 of the family's 1533-position model. The record is from RNAcentral.